GAUGAACGCUAGCGGCAGGCCUAACACAUGCAAGUCGAGGGGUAGAACACUUCGGUGUUUGAGACCGGCGCACGGGUGCGUAACGCGUAUGCAAUCUACCUUGUACAGGGGAAUAGCCCAGAGAAAUUUGGAUUAAUGCCCCAUAGUAUAUAACCUUCGCAUGUUGGUUAUAUUAAAGUUCCAACGGUACAAGAUGAGCAUGCGUCCCAUUAGUUAGUUGGUAAGGUAACGGCUUACCAAGACGAUGAUGGGUAGGGGUCCUGAGAGGGAGAUCCCCCACACUGGUACUGAGACACGGACCAGACUCCUACGGGGGGCAGCAGUGAGGAAUAUUGGUCAAUGGUCGCAAGACUGAACCAGCCAUGCCGCGUGCAGGAAGACGGUCCUAUGGAUUGUAAACUGCUUUUAUACAGGAAGAAACCCUCCCACGUGUGGGAGCUUGACGGUACUGUAGGAAUAAGGAUCGGCUAACUCCGUGCCAGCAGCCGCGGUAA
This 494-nucleotide ribosomal RNA is filed under the name uncultured bacterium. RNAcentral describes it as "partial 16S ribosomal RNA". It matches the Rfam family "Bacterial small subunit ribosomal RNA", at positions 28 to 523 of the family's 1533-position model. The record is from RNAcentral.